AUACGAAGUCCAGGACGCUAGCUCCAGUGUUGAUUUCCAAUAAAAGAAGAAAGAAAGGAAGAACAAGACUAUGUACCCUACUCCUUGGGGCAUAAAAAAGAAAGUGCUGUAUGAAAAACACUUAAAUAUCUCAAAAGUAUCGCCAUUGUUAAGAUCAUUCUGAUACUUGGGUACCUCAAAGGAGUGAUUAAGUAUGCGGAGUGGAGGGAGAUGAGAUGAAUCUAAGAAGUAAACAUUUGUGAAGCAUCUCCAUUCUGUCUGGAAUAAUGCGUGAAGUGGAGGGGAUAGUGGAACAUCUAACAAGCUUAACGUUGAUGUACUAGAUUAGACAUACUUGCUAUGUCCCUGCUAAUCCACCAUGAAGGUGCAGCUUCCAUCCUCUUAAAGCUCAGCUUACUAAAUGAUUUGUCUGACCAAGGAGUGAAGUCCAGGUGGAAGGCCUGGAGGCAG
Molecule: long non-coding RNA, 450 nt
Filed under: Mus spicilegus (steppe mouse)
Lineage: Eukaryota; Metazoa; Chordata; Mammalia; Rodentia; Muridae
Description: lncRNA (ENSMSIG00000019983.1)
Source: RNAcentral